Molecule: ribosomal RNA, 254 nt
Filed under: uncultured bacterium
Lineage: Bacteria
Description: partial 16S ribosomal RNA
Rfam family: Bacterial small subunit ribosomal RNA
Source: RNAcentral
UACGUAGGCAGCGAGCGUUGUUCGGAGUUACUGGGCGUAAAGGGUGUGUAGGCGGUUGUUUAAGUUUGGUGUGAAAUCUCCCGGCUCAACUGGGAGGGUGCGCCGAAUACUGAAUGACUUGGAGUGCGGGAGAGGUGAGUGGAAUUCCUGGUGUAGCGGUGAAAUGCGUAGAUAUCAGGAGGAACACCGGUGGUGUAGACGGCUCACUGGACCGUAACUGACACUGAGAAACGAAAGCCAGGGUAGCAAACGGG